RNAcentral lists this ribosomal RNA (517 nucleotides) under uncultured bacterium. RNAcentral describes it as "bacterial SSU rRNA". It matches the Rfam family "Bacterial small subunit ribosomal RNA", at positions 1044 to 1507 of the family's 1533-position model. The record is from RNAcentral.
CAUGGCUGUCGUCUAGUUCGUGUUGUGAAAAUUAUUUUGUAUUUAAUUUACAAAAACGGGGCGCAAUACCUUUAAAUUAUUAUUUUAUUUAAAAUAUAAUUAAAUGUCAAUGAAAUAUUGAAGGAAGGUAAGGAUAACGACAAGUCGUUAUGGCCUUUUAUGAAUUGGGCUACACAUGUGCUACAAUGAUUAUUACAAUGAGAUGCAAAAAUGCAAAUUUAAGCUAAUCUUUAAAAAUAAUCUUAGUUCGGAUUAUUCUUUGUAAUUCAAGAAUAUGAAGUUGGAAUUACUAGUAAUCGUUUAUAAGUACGAAACGGUGAAUUUGGAACCUAAUCUUGUACACACCGCCCGUCACGCCACGGAAGCAGGUUUUAUAUUAAAUAUUUAAAAUGAUUAUUAUAUAAGUUAAAAAUAUAAAAUUUAGAUUAUUUUCUAUUUAAUUUGUAUGAUAAUUUAGAUUAAAAUAUCGGUAUAAGAUGGGCAACUGGGGCGAAGUCGUAACACGGUAGCUGUAGGG